RNAcentral lists this non-coding RNA (30 nucleotides) under Mus musculus (house mouse). Lineage: Eukaryota; Metazoa; Chordata; Mammalia; Rodentia; Muridae. The record is from RNAcentral.
UAGAUUUGGCUGGUGCAUCCUGGAAAGAGU